AAUUGACGGGGAGCACCACAACGGGUGGAGCUUGCGGUUUAAUUGGAUUCAACGCCGGAAAUCUUACCGGGACCGACAGCAAUAUGAAGGCCAGGCUGAAGACUUUGCCGGAUUAGCUGAGAGGUGGUGCAUGGCCGUCGUCAGUUCGUACUGUGAAGCAUCCUGUUAAGUCAGGCAACGAGCGAGACCCACGCCCACAGUUGCCAGCGUACUCUCUGGAGUGACGGGUACACUGUGGGACCGCCGCUGCUAAAGCGGAGGAAGGAAUGGGCAACGGUAGGUCAGUAUGCCCCGAAUAUCCCGGGCUACACGCGAGCUACAAUGGUUGGUACAAUGGGUAUCUACCCCGAAAGGGGACGGGAAUCUCCUAAAACCAAUCUUAGUUCGGAUUGAGGGCUGCAACUCGCCCUCAUGAAGCUGGAAUCCGUAGUAAUCGCGGAUCAGCAUGUCGCGGUGAAUACGUUCCCGGGUCUU
Molecule: ribosomal RNA, 474 nt
Filed under: uncultured Methanosaeta sp.
Lineage: Archaea; Methanobacteriati; Methanobacteriota; Methanomicrobia; Methanotrichales; Methanotrichaceae
Description: bacterial SSU rRNA
Rfam family: Archaeal small subunit ribosomal RNA
Source: RNAcentral